UGCGGGAUCGUCUAAUGGUAGGACGCCUGACUCUGAAUCAGGUAAUCUUGGUUCGAAUCCAGGUCCCGCAG
This 71-nucleotide transfer RNA is filed under the name Parcubacteria group bacterium. RNAcentral's name for it is "tRNA-Gln". It matches the Rfam family "tRNA". From Rfam's summary of the family: Transfer RNA (tRNA) molecules are approximately 80 nucleotides in length. Their secondary structure includes four short double-helical elements and three loops (D, anti-codon, and T loops). Further hydrogen bonds mediate the characteristic L-shaped molecular structure. tRNAs have two regions of fundamental functional importance: the anti-codon, which is responsible for specific mRNA codon recognition, and the 3' end, to which the tRNAs corresponding amino acid is attached (by aminoacyl-tRNA synthetases). tRNAs cope with the degeneracy of the genetic code in two manners: having more than one tRNA (with a specific anti-codon) for a particular amino acid; and 'wobble' base-pairing, i.e. permitting non-standard base-pairing at the 3rd anti-codon position. The record is from RNAcentral.